RNAcentral lists this ribosomal RNA (3118 nucleotides) under Leucobacter sp. OH1287. Its description in RNAcentral is "23S ribosomal RNA". It matches the Rfam family "Bacterial large subunit ribosomal RNA". Lineage: Bacteria; Bacillati; Actinomycetota; Actinomycetes; Micrococcales; Microbacteriaceae. The record is from RNAcentral.
UUGCAAGUUCUUAAGAGCAAACGGUGGAUGCCUUGGCAUCUGGAGCCGAAGAAGGACGUCGUAAUCUGCGAUAAGCCUCGGGGAGUUGAUAAACGAGCUGUGAUCCGAGGAUUUCCGAAUGGGGAAACCCAGCAAGAGACUAUAUGUGUUCUUGUUACUCCCACCUGAAUAUAUAGGGUGGGUAGAGGGAACGUGGGGAAGUGAAACAUCUCAGUACCCACAGGAAGAGAAAACAACAUGUGACUCCGGGAGUAGUGGCGAGCGAAACUGGAUGAGGCUAAACCUGUUAGGUGUGAUACACGGUAGUGGUUGCCUAGCGGGGGUUGUGGGACGCAAUAAAGAGUUCUACCGGGCUUUUAGCGUUAUUGUGUGCGUAUAGGAGAACACUUUGGAAGGAGUGACCGUAGUGGGUGAGAGUCCCGUAUCUGAAAUGCGUGUGCAGCGUUUUGUGUAUCCCGAGUAGCACGGGGCCCGUGAAAUCCCGUGUGAAUCUGCCAGGACCACCUGGUAAGCCUAAAUACUACUAGAUGACCGAUAGCGGACAAGUACCGUGAGGGAAAGGUGAAAAGUACCCCGGGAGGGGAGUGAAAUAGUACCUGAAACCGUUUGCUUACAAACCGUCAGAGCAUCCUUGUUGGUGUGAUGGCGUGCCUUUUGAAGAAUGAGCCUGCGAGUUAGCGGCAUGUGGCGAGGUUAACCCGUGUGGGGUAGCCGUAGCGAAAGCGAGUCUGAAUAGGGCGGUAUAGUCGCGUGUCCUAGACCCGAAGCGAAGUGAUCUAUCCAUGGCCAGGUUGAAGCACGUGUAAGAGCGUGUGGAGGACCGAACCCACUUAGGUUGAAAACUGAGGGGAUGAGCUGUGGAUAGGGGUGAAAGGCCAAUCAAACUUCGUGAUAGCUGGUUCUCUCCGAAAUGCAUUUAGGUGCAGCGUUACGUGUUUCUUGCCGGAGGUAGAGCUACUGGAUGGCCGAUGGGCCCUACAAGGUUACUGACGUCAGCUAAACUCCGAAUGCCGGUAAGUCAGAGCGUAGCAGUGAGACUGUGGGGGAUAAUCUUCAUGGUCGAGAGGGAAACAACCCAGAUCAUCAUCUAAGGUCCCUAAGCGUGUGCUAAGUGGAAAAGGAUGUGGAGUUGCUUAGACAACCAGGAGGUUGGCUUAGAAGCAGCCACCCUUGAAAGAGUGCGUAAUAGCUCACUGGUCAAGUGAUUCCGCGCCGACAAUGUAACGGGGCUCAAGCACACCACCGAAGAUAUGGCAAUCCGUGUAUAGGCAAGCCUUUGUGGUUCAGUUCACGGGUUGGGUAGGAGAGCGUCGUGUCACGAGUGAAGCGGCAGAGUGAUCUAGUCGUGGAUGUGACACGAGUGAGAAUGCAGGCAUGAGUAGCGAAAGACGGGUGAGAAACCCGUCCUCCGGAAGACCAAGGGUUCCAGGGUCAAGCUAAUCUUCCCUGGGUAAGUCGGGACCUAAGGCGAGGCCGACAGGCGUAGUCGAUGGAUAACGGGUUGAUAUUCCCGUACCGGCUGGUAACCGUUCAACACAAACUUUCGAGUGCUAAGAAAACUUUUAUGUUGGGUGAAGCAACUUUGUUGUUUUGUCUAGUGUGUGGUUUUUGAUCCCGAUGAUUGGGCGUGAGCGUGAGGUGUGACGCAGGAAGGUAGGUGGUCCCGGGCGAUGGUUGUCCCGGGCUAAGUAUGUAGCCUGUUCCUUAGUAAUAUUUUGGAACAUUAGGGUGAGAUACGAUGGGGAGCCGUUUUUGGUGAAGUCACUGAUCCUAUGCUGCCGAGAAAAGCAUCGGCGUGAGGUUGCUGGUUGCCCGUACCCCAAACCGACUCAGGUGGUCAGGUAGAGAAUACUAAGGAGAUCGAGAUAAUCGUGGUGAAGGAACUCGGCAAAAUGCCCCCGUAACUUCGGGAGAAGGGGGGCCAUCCGCUUAUACCAACUUGCUUGGGAAAGGGUGUGGUGGCCGCAGAGACCAGUGGGAAGCGACUGUUUACUAAAAACACAGGUCCGUGCUAACAAGCAAUUGGAUGUAUACGGACUGACGCCUGCCCGGUGCUGGAAGGUUAAGAGGAGAGGUUAACACUUUGGUGUGAAGCUUUGAAUUUAAGCCCCAGUAAACGGCGGUGGUAACUAUAACCAUCCUAAGGUAGCGAAAUUCCUUGUCGGGUAAGUUCCGACCUGCACGAAUGGCGUAACGACUUCCCAGCUGUCUCCACCGCGAACUCGGCGAAAUUGCAGUACGAGUAAAGAUGCUCGUUACGCGCAGCAGGACGGAAAGACCCCGUGACCUUUACUAUAGCUUGGUAUUGGUGUUCGGUGUGGCUUGUGUAGGAUAGGUGGGAGACUUUGAAGCAUGCACGCUAGUGUGUGUGGAGUCGUUGUUGAAAUACCACUCUGGUCACUCUGGAUAUCUAACUACGGACCCUGAUCGGGUUCUGGGACAGUGCCUGGUGGGUAGUUUAACUGGGGCGGUUGCCUCCCAAAAAGUAACGGAGGCGCCCAAAGGUUCCCUCAGCCUGGUUGGCAAUCAGGUGGCGAGUGUAAGUGCACAAGGGAGCUUGACUGUGAGACUGACAGGUCGAGCAGGGACGAAAGUCGGGACUAGUGAUCCGGCAGUGGCUUGUGGAAGCGCUGUCGCUCAACGGAUAAAAGGUACCUCGGGGAUAACAGGCUGAUCUUGCCCAAGAGUCCAUAUCGACGGCAUGGUUUGGCACCUCGAUGUCGGCUCGUCGCAUCCUGGGGCUGGAGUUGGUCCCAAGGGUUGGGCUGUUCGCCCAUUAAAGCGGUACGCGAGCUGGGUUUAGAACGUCGUGAGACAGUUCGGUCCCUAUCCGCUGCGUGCGUUGGAAAUUUGAAAGGAUCUGACCCUAGUACGAGAGGACCGGGUUGGACGGACCUCUGGUGUGCCAGUUGUACUGCCAAGUGCAUGGCUGGUUGGCUACGUUCGGGAUGGAUAACCGCUGAAAGCAUCUAAGCGGGAAGCCGGCCUUGAGAUGAGAUUUCCUAACACUCUUUUGUGUGUGAGGUUCCCUAUAGAUUAUGGGGUUGAUAGGCCAGAUAUGGAAGCAUAGUAAUGUGUGGAGUUGACUGGUACUAAUAAACCGAAUACUUGCUAAACA